Molecule: ribosomal RNA, 334 nt
Filed under: uncultured eukaryote
Lineage: Eukaryota
Description: partial 18S ribosomal RNA
Rfam family: Eukaryotic small subunit ribosomal RNA
Source: RNAcentral
CCCUUAGAUGUCCGGGGCCGCACGCGCGCUACACUGAAGGAAUCAGCGUGGCUUUCUCCCUGACCCGAAAGGGUUGGGAAACCCGUUGAAUCUCCUUCGUGAUAGGGAUUGGGGCUUGAAAUUGUUCCCCAUGAACGGGGAAUUCCCAGUAAGCGCGAGUCAUAAGCUCGCGUUGAUUACGUCCCUGCCCUUUGUACACACCGCCCGUCGCUACUACCGAUUGAACGGUUUAGUGAGGGCCUCGGAUUGGUCUCGGCCCGCUCUUUACCGGGCGGCGCCGUUGGUCGAGAAGACGCUCGAACUUGAUCGUUUAGAGGAAGUAAAAGUCGUAACA